GAUCCUGGCUCAGGAUGAACGCUAGCGACAGGCUUAACACAUGCAAGUCGAGGGGCAGCGGGGCGAAAGCUUGCUUUCGCCUGCCGGCGACCGGCGCACGGGUGAGUAACACGUAUGGAACCUGCCCUAUGCAGGGGGAUAAGCGGAAGAAAUUCCGUCUAAUACCGCAUAACACCAUUUGGAGACAUCUCCAGGUGGUCAAAGGAGGCGACUCCGGCAUAGGAUGGCCAUGCGUCGCAUUAGCUAGUCGGCGGGGUAACGGCCCACCGAGGCGACGAUGCGUAGGGGUUCUGAGAGGAAGGUCCCCCACACUGGUACUGAGACACGGACCAGACUCCUACGGGAGGCAGCAGUGAGGAAUAUUGGUCAAUGGGCGCAAGCCUGAACCAGCCAAGUCGCGUGAGGGAAGACGGUCCUAUGGAUUGUAAACCUCUUUUGUCGGGGAGCAAAGCGCGGUACGAGUACCGCGAAGGAGAGUACCCGAAGAAAAAGCAUCGGCUAACUCCGUG
RNAcentral lists this ribosomal RNA (509 nucleotides) under uncultured Bacteroidota bacterium. RNAcentral describes it as "bacterial SSU rRNA". It matches the Rfam family "Bacterial small subunit ribosomal RNA", at positions 15 to 507 of the family's 1533-position model. The record is from RNAcentral. Lineage: Bacteria; Pseudomonadati; Bacteroidota.